UAUGAACGCUGGCGGCGUGCCUAACACAUGCAAGUCGAACGAAGCAAUUAAAAUGAAGUUUUCGGAUGGAUUUUUGAUUGACUGAGUGGCGGACGGGUGAGUAACGCGUGGAUAACCUGCCUCACACUGGGGGAUAACAGUUAGAAAUGACUGCUAAUACCGCAUAAGACCACAGCACCGCAUGGUGCAGGGGUAAAAACUCCGGUGGUAUGAGAUGGACCCGCGUCUGAUUAGCUGGUUGGUGGGGUAACGGCCUACCAAGGCGACGAUCAGUAGCCGACCUGAGAGGGUGACCGGCCACAUUGGGACUGAGACACGGCCCAA
RNAcentral lists this ribosomal RNA (324 nucleotides) under uncultured bacterium. RNAcentral describes it as "bacterial SSU rRNA". It matches the Rfam family "Bacterial small subunit ribosomal RNA", at positions 29 to 334 of the family's 1533-position model. The record is from RNAcentral.